UGUUGGAGCAGUGGAACAGCUUGGUGCUGCUUAUUGGGCUACUGAUACAUUUACUGCUGGAUAUGGUGUGAGCUUGAAUCUUGAUGGUGACGGUCACCUAUAUUUGUUAAAUGAUACCGGUUUCAACAUCAAAAGUAUUAAUACGAACUACGUUAAUGCCUCGGGUAAGUCCGUGUAUCGUGCAACAAUCGAUACGGAUGGUUUAUUUCGAUUGUACUCACAUAGUUCUAACCAAUUUGAUGAUUGGUACACCGAAUGGUCAUCCUCUAAUUAUAGAUGUGAUCCUUUCGGUUUGUGCGGUGAGAAUAGUUAUUGUGUUAUGAUGGGUGGGGAACCCGUUUGUCAAUGUCCUCUUCAUUUCGAUUUUAUCAACGAGAAGCGACAGGAAUUGGGUUGCCGAAAGAACUAUAGUUUAGUUGCUUGUGACACAAGAAAUGACCGAACUUUUGAUUUUCUUGAGGUGAACGAUGUGUCUUGGAAAAAUGAUGCGUAUUUGAGUCUUUCGUUGAAGACAAAGAACAGUUGUAGGGACGAGUGCUAUCGAGAUUGUAGUUGCGAAGCCGCUGUCUUCGAGAACGAGUUGUGUAAAAUGAUGAAGUUGCCGUUACGGUUUGGGAGGAGAGUAUUAAGUGGUCAAGUUACUACAUUUUUAAAGAUUGGAGGAGAACUUGCCGGUGUUGGGACAAGGAAAAGGAAAAGGAAGCUAAGAAUGGAUAUGUUAAUCAUUAGUAUUGCCAUGGCAUGCUUGACGCUUGGGUUUCUAGCUGUAGCAACGAUCGGCGUUCGAAAGUAUCGUGCUUAUGUUCGAAAAUACAAGCGUGAUUUGCGUUUGGUAAACAAUCGAGUUGCUGAAGAUGUUUCCUUGAAAUCAUUUUCCCUCGAGGAACUUAAAGAUGCAACCAACAAUUUUGUGGACGUGAUCGGUAAAGGAGCUUACGGGACGGUUUUCAAAGGGGUGAUAUUCGAUGGCGAAAGAACAGUAGCCGUCAAGAGACUGGAAAAAGUGGUGGCCGAAGGUGAAAGAGAUUUCCUGAAUGAAAUGAAAGCCAUCGGGAAAACACAUCACAAGAACCUCGUUCGAUUGCUCGGUUAUUGCUACGACGGGACUAAUAGGCUUCUGGUUUACGAGUACAUGAAAAACGGUUCUCUUGCAGAUUUUCUUUUCAAAUCGAGAUUAAAGGUAAAUUGGGAAGUAAGAGUCGAAAUAGUAUUGAGUAUAGCGAGAGGAAUUUGUUACUUGCAUGAAGAAUGCGAGACUCGGAUUAUCCAUUGCGAUAUCAAACCGGAAAACAUCCUAAUGGACGACGAAGGGUACGCGAAAAUUGCAGAUUUCGGAUUAGCCAAGCUAUUGAUGCCUAACCAAUCUAUGACAUACACUGAAAUCCGAGGGACGAGGGGAUACGUUGCCCCAGAGUGGCAUCGAAACUUACCAAUAACCGUGAAAGCCGAUGUUUAUAGCUUCGGAAUAAUGCUGUUCGAGAUCAUUUGUUGUAGAAGGAGUAUGGAAAUGGAUGUUCCGGAAAACGAACAAGUUCUUGCAUACUGGGCACAUGAUUGUUUCAAGGCUAAUGAAGUGGAGAAGCUGGUGCAAAAUGAAUUUGUGGAGAAGAGUAAAUUGGAGAAGAUGGUUAAGGUCGGAUUAUGGUGCACCCAAGAUGAAGCAUCGUCUCGACCGUCGAUGAAAAGGGUUAUCUUGAUGCUAGAAGGGACGGUUAAUAUACCCGAUCCUCCACUCCUUAGCUCCUUUGUUAGUUCUCCUUAGAUCAUGUUUGUGGCACAAGUUAAGACUUUUAACUUUGCCAAGCGUAAAAACCAUAGUGUCCAUGCUUAUAUAGUUGUGAAUUACACUGAUGAAUCACAGCAGGUAUAUACAUAUUUAUAUAUGUAUAUAUUAUCAGCCUGAUGAAAUUUACAGUGUAAUCAAUAAAUUUUUCUAUAAUAUUAGAACAGAGGAAGAUGUUUAGAUUUUGAAUCUUGAAUUUAUUUAAUCCUUCUUAAGAGAUAAGAAUAUAUCUUCAGUUAAUUCGGUUUUUAUAUAUCAAGAAUCUAAUGAACCAACUAAACUAAUAAAAUUGAAUUAACCAAACUGAGUUGAAUGAUAUUAUCUUCCUAUUUACGGGUGAGGAAGAUAUUAUAAAUAAUUCUAAGCAUAUUUUAAAUUAAUCAUUGAUCUUCGAAAUAUUCUAAUUAAAUCUUUAACCUAUCAAUAUUGCUAAAUUACGUUAUUGCCUUUAAUAUAUAUUAUUAACCCAAAUCCAAACAUAAUUAUUGAGUCAAGCUCGAGCUUAAGUACAAAAAUUGACAAACAAGCUUAAUCGAGCUUGAGUAGCUCGGUUUUAUCUUGAAUAGAGCUCGAGCUUAGAAAUAGAUGUUCAAUCGAGCUAGAGGCAAGUAUCGAGCUCUAAAUUUCGAGUCAAGCUCACUGCUUGAUUUCACCCAAUGUCAAAUCCCAUUUUAGAUCCAACAUGAAUCAUAAUUUUAAACAUGUGGAUCAAAUUAUAAAUACAUGUAUUUAUAUGAACAAUUUGGAUCUAAUUGUUAAAAACAGUGUAAAUAAUUUUAUAUUUGUAUAAAAUAUCGUAAUAUUUUUUGUUCGGAGAACAAAUUAAAUUAAAAUAUAAUAAAACAAGUCAAUUGGUAAUUAUUUGACCAUGCACUUAAAAUUCCAUUUGUUUGCAAUUCUUUUUCUUGGAAUCUAAUUUGUUUAUGCUUACCAAUAGCCUGACUCUUUGUGCAUUUGUUUGCUGUCUGAAUGUCAAUUCAUUUAGGCUGUUUUUGUGUAUUUUUGUUCGGGUGUAAAUGAGAUACCGGUAUUCGUAAAUUAUUUGAGUUCAAUUUAAAAAAAUUCGAAUUGAAUUCGGCAAUUAUCGAGUUUAGCUUGAGGUAUCAAUCGAGCUGAAUUCAAGUUUAGUAAUAAUUUGUUCAAUUAUAUUAAUCAAAUUAAUUGAAUCAUGAACCAGGGGCGGCGUCGGGGGGUUGGCAAGGGCCUUGCCCCCCUAAAAUGGGAAAUUUUGACUUUUGACCCUUUACAAUUUAUAAAAUUUUAAGUUAGUAUAGGUAAAAUUACACUUUGACACCCAAAAUGACAAAAUUUUGAUUUAAUCCUUUAGAAUUAUAAACAUAUGGACUAUUAAAAUGAAAAAAAAAUACAUUUUAACUUUCAUAAAAAUAUACAAUUUAAUUUCGACUCUUCUAAAAAAAAAUUUCUAGCUUCAUCCCUACUAUAAAUUAAUAGUUUAACUGAUCUGAUUACAAAUUCGAUUUCGAAAAUCUUCGUGUGGCAUGUAAAGGUUCUCAAAGCAUGAAACAUGGAUGAAAAAUGACUUCCAUGCAUACUUUUGGGAUUAAUAUGUAUAUAUAAUGAACUUAAUUAGUGGGAUAUUUGUGCUUUGACUAAUGUAUAUAUUUUGUGUUUUGAACAUACAUAUCUGCCUAUGAUUAUUUUUAAUGUAUAUGUUGUGUGGUUGGAAUUGAAUCGAUUUGGUUGGUUAGAUCGGAAAUUGGUUAAAAAUAUUAUUUUUAAAAUUUUUAAAAAAAUUAUUUAAAAAAAUGAUUUUUAUAGAUAUCUGAUCACACUUAGUUAAAAAGAUCAUUAGUGUAUAGUAAUACUAUGAAUGAACCAAUAUUGAAUAUUGGUAACAAUAUCAGCAAAAGAACGUUCUUCUGUGUUUCCAGACAUGCUGAGCUCCACAUAUUCUUGUAGGAGAUCGAUUCUGUAACAGAUGGGAUCAGUAAACGGGAAUUCAUUGAAAUUCAAUCUUUGUGAGAUCAUUAAUAUUGUACCAAAUGUAUUUUUAGAGUAUACCGAAUCAGUAUAGCUAUCCUUCCUCAGACACAACAACACAAUUUCAAAAAGUGAUAAUUGCUUUUUUAAUAAAAAUCUUGUGUUUUAAAAGUUAAAAUUAUUCAUAUAUUUUUAAAUUAUUAAUCUAAUUUGACCACCGAUCAAGAUAAGAAAACCUUAACGAUUGGUAUGGAGAACUACAUUGUAACUAUAAUGGCUUUUUUAGAACGCCAAUGCAAUACAAACAUCAAUGGAUGCACAGCAUAAGUCAGCCAAACGUUGCUUUACACUACAAUUAAGAGAAGAAAAAAAGGAGAGGGAAAAAAAAGGUUGUCUCGAGUUUGAACUUAUGACCAAAAUUUUCAGAAUCGGAUCAACGAUCAAAUUGGUCUAGGUAUUAAUUUUAUUGGUUUGUAUGGUUUGAUUAAAUAAAUUAUUGAAAAAUUUAAAAUAAAAAUAAAAAUUCCUAUUCAACCUGUGUUUUGCCUAGCUCAACCAAUUUGUACCUAUUCCCAGGUCAACCAGUCUAAUAACUUUUUUCCGGACCGGUGAUCAAUUGCUUAGGCUACUAGUUCGUUGGUCCAAUCAAUUCGAUUAAAUAAAUCAUUAAAGAUAAAACAAAAUAAAUCCAUUCAACCAGUUCAAUUGGUUUUUUGCUUGGUAUUACUAAUCCGUACUGGUUCCCAAUUCAACCAGUCUAAUAAAUUUCUUUCGAUCGGUGGUCAAAUUGUUCAAUCCACUAGUUUACUGUCCACUCAAUUCGAUUAAAUAAAUAAUAAAAAUAUUAAAAAUAAAUAUCCGAUUCAACCACCCAAUUCAAUCAAUUUUUUAUUCGAUUUAACUGAUCCAUAUCGAUCCUCAAAUCAACCAAUCUAAUAACUUCCUUCGUUACAUCUUAAUCAAACAUCAUUUUUGUUUUUAAAUUUAAAUCUCGUUAUAGAUUUUUAUUAUAUCUAAUUUUUUUAUACAAUUCUAAAACUACUUAUAGCCCCUUUUCAACUCUUAAAUAGGAAGACUCGAACUUAUAUCUUUUUGUACUGAAAAUAAUAUCGAUGCUAUUCAAAUAUACUUGUCUAUAAGAACCGAAGACUUGAAAAAAGGGCAGUAGGUUAAUUGACAACAAAUUAGUACCGUUGGUCAACCAAAGAAAAAGACGGUAGAAAAGUCCUUAAUCGUGAACUCAAGGCGUGUAUUUUGUAACGACUUAAAAAGACUUUGAAAGUUCAAAUUCUAUUAUUAGUCCUUGUAAAUUAUGGAUUUAAUCCUUAUUUUAUUUUUUUAUUAAUUUUAGUCCUUAUAUUUUUCGUAUUUUAAAAUUUCAGUCCUGACUUAAAUUACAGCCUUUACAUCGACUAGGUAAAAAUUCUGCUAUUAGUCUUGUUCUAUGCAUAAACAGUGGAUUGAAAUUCCAGUCAUAGUUAAAAACAACUGUCACUAAAUCCAAUAAAUAAAAAUGUGGCUUUUUUUGUGUGUAUGAAUAUUACGUGAAUAACAAUCAGGCAUAACGUUGCACAUAUAAUAAUAUAAUUGGCGCAUAAUAUUUUAAAAACAGUAGAAUAUAACGAUUAUUGUUUGGCCAAGACUAGAAUUUUAAAAUUAAAAAAGUGAAGGUAAAAAACAAGGGUUAAAUAUUAAAUUUAUACACGAACUUUGAUCCAAUAUGUAAUUUAAUACAUGAGUAUUGAUUUAGUGCAUUUAUACACAUGAAACUUGAAUUGUGGUUUAUAUAUAUAUAUGAAACUUUGAUUUUGAUUCAAUUGUAUACAUUUUAAAAAAUGAAUACAUAUAAUUAUUUUUAUAUUGGAUUAAUAUAAUUAUUUGUGUAUGUAAUAUAUUAAUAUAAAAUGAUGCUAAUUCGAUAAUGUAAUUAGUGGUUCGUGAAAAUAAUCAAAUUAAAUUUUCAUGUAUAAAAUCAUAAAAAAAUAAUGUUCAUGUAUCAAAUUGUACAUUGCAUCAAAAUUCAUGUAUGAUUUUAAUAUUUAUCUCAUCUAAAAAAAGUUUAAGUACAAGGACUAAAUCGAUAAUUUAGACUAAUCCUCCUAAUGCACUAUUGACAAGGGAUCGCAUUUACUGUUUUUCCUUACAAGCACUGCAAAAAAAAGAAAAGAAAAACACAAGCUCUAUCUUCCACUUUAAUGGCGUUUCUUGUUCUUCUUCUUUUAAAUUUUGUAUUUAAUGCAACAAAUGCUCAAUCAACAAGCUCUAUUAUCAAACCAGGUUCUUCUCUUUCACCCAUUAAUAAUUCAUAUUUGCUAUCGCCGUCCGGCCAGUUCGCUUUCGGUUUCUACCGAUACAAAAACGGCUACUCCGUAGGGAUAUGGUUCGAAAACAUCCAGCAGAAAACAAUUGUAUGGACGGCUAACCGAGAUGGCUCGCCGUUCCCUAGCAAUGUCACAUUGGUUUUAACCACCGAAGGUACCCUUAUUGUUCGACCAAAGCAAGGUCAAGACGUACUCAUUGCGGAUACAUCGACUAGGUAAAAAUUCUGCUAUUAGUCUUGUUCUAUGCAUAAACUACAGUGGAUUGAAAUUCCAGUCAUAGUUAAAAACAACUGUCACUAAAUCCAAUAACUAAAAAUGUGGCUUUUUGUGUGUAUGAAUAUUACAUGAAAAUAACAAUCAGGCAUAACGUUGCACAUAUAAUAAUAUAAUUGGCGCAUAAUAUUUUAAAAACAGUAGAAUAUAACGAUUAUUGUUUGGCCAAGACUAGAAUUUUAAAAUUAAAAAAGUGAAGGUAAAAAAAAAGGGUUAAAUAUUAAAUUUAUACACGAACUUUGAUCCAAUAUGUAAUUUAAUACAUGAGUAUUGAUUUAGUGCAUUUAUACACAUGAAACUUGAAUUGUGAUUUAUAUAUAUAUAUGAAACUUUGAUUUUGAUUCAAUUGUAUACAUUUUAAAAAAUGAAUACAUACAAUUAUUUUUAUUUUGGAUUAAUAAAUUAUUUGUGUGUGUAAUAUACUAACAUAAAAUGAUGCUAAUUCGAUAAUGUUAUUAGUGGUUCGUGAAAAUUAAUCAAAUUAAAUUUUCAUGUAUAAAAUCACAUAAAAAUAAUGUUCAUGUAUCAAAUUGUACAUUGCAUCAAAAUUCAGGUAUGAUUUUAAUAUUUAUCUCAUCUAAAAAAAAGUUUAAAUACAAGGACUAAAUCGAUAAUUUAGACUAAUCGUCCUAAUGCACUAUUAACACGGGAUCGCAUUUACUUUUUUUCCUUACAAGCACUGCAAAAAAAAAAAAACCACAAGCUCUAUCUUCCACUUUAAUGGCGUUUCUUGUUGUUCUUCUUCUUUUAAAUUUUGUAUUUAAUGCAACAAAUGCUCAAUCAACAAGCUCUAUUAUCAAACCAGGUUCUUCUCUUUCACCCAUCAAUAAUUCAUAUUUGCUAUCGCCGUCCGGCCAGUUCGCUUUCGGUUUCUACCCAUACAAAAAAGGCUACUCCGUAGGCAUAUGGUUCGAAAACAUCCAGCAGAAAACAAUUGUAUGGACGGCUAACCGAGAAGCCUCGCCGUUCCCUAGCGAUGUCACAUUGGUUUUAACCACCGAAGGUACCCUUAUUGUUCGACCAAAGCAAGGUCAAGACGUACUCAUUGCCGAUGCUAGUAGUGAUAACGUGUCACGGUUAGCAACUUCGGCCUCGAUGCUCGAUUCGGGUAACUUUGUUUUGUUGAAUUCAAGUGGUGGGAUCGUAUGGAAGAGUUUUGAUUUCCCGACCGAUACCAUUUUACCAGGACAACGUCUAGCGGUGAUCGGUAAGCUCGUUUCGAGUGUUGCCGAGUCGGAUCAUAGUAGCGGAAAAUUUCUAAUUCUUAUGCAAAGGGAUGGGAAUUUGGUUCAAUACCCUGUUGGAGCAGUGGAACAGCUUGGUGCUGCUUAUUGGGCUACUGAUACAUUUACUGCUGGAUAUGGUGUGAGCUUGAAUCUUGAUGGUGACGGUCACCUAUAUUUGUUAAAUGAUACCGGUUUCAACAUCAAAAGUAUUAAUACGAACUACGUUAAUGCCUCGGGUAAGUCCGUGUAUCGUGCAACAAUCGAUACGGAU
Molecule: long non-coding RNA, 7815 nt
Filed under: Gossypium barbadense (sea-island cotton)
Lineage: Eukaryota; Viridiplantae; Streptophyta; Magnoliopsida; Malvales; Malvaceae
Description: long non-coding RNA (GBAR_LNC023342)
Source: RNAcentral